CCCCUCUCAGGGUCUCACCUGGAGAGUUUCCAGUACUCUACCAGUCUCGGCUACGGGAGGGAGAGUCAAGCAGUGACAUACCCAAUCCAUUCCUAGCUUGGCCAGUGCCUGGCAAGUGGAAGGCAUUCUGCUACAAGU
RNAcentral lists this small nucleolar RNA (138 nucleotides) under Ornithorhynchus anatinus (platypus). Lineage: Eukaryota; Metazoa; Chordata; Mammalia; Monotremata; Ornithorhynchidae. The record is from RNAcentral.